Phyllopteryx taeniolatus (common seadragon) is the source of this 552-nucleotide long non-coding RNA. RefSeq lists it as uncharacterized. The transcript has 3 exons. NCBI's taxonomy places the organism in Eukaryota, Metazoa, Chordata, Actinopteri, Syngnathiformes, Syngnathidae. The record is from RefSeq and is a predicted model, not a curated record.
UGUGUUCUACUGCAAGACGAGCGGACCACAGCCAUCUACCUCCUCCUAGCAUUCAAGUCCACCUGUGGACGUCACAAAGGUUUCAAAACCAGCAGGCUCAGCUUCAUCUGAGUACCGAGGAAGGCGCUCUGUCUGAGAUUUCAACAGAAUUAGCCAAAUUGGCUCACGAGGACAUAGGACAGAACACUAGAACCUUUAGGAUGAGAUACGAGAGUACAGAGGUCUGCCAUCUACACUAACCUCAGUGAAUCCAGUGACCUUGUGGUGGAAUGACACUGCCAAUGCUAUCAAAUUUGGCAACCAGGGCAACUUCAAGCCACUGUUCACCAAAACCAAGAUGUGACAAUGUUUGUUCCAUAUAAUGGGAUGUCAGCGACGUGGGCGUCCCAAGAAGACGACACCCUAAGAACGCUGUCAGCACGUAAGGUACCAUAAGGCUGACUUCAACAGAUUUGCAGGACAAUACGGCCAACGGCUCUCUGCCCAGACAAUCUGGAACAUACUGCAAACAGCCAAUCUCCAGUCUCAUAUGCCUUCCAGGAGGCCUGCCAU